AUCUACCACCACUGUUUACACAGACCAGGAGUCCUUGCCUGAGGAGAGCUGAUGGAGGAGCCGUGCACCUGGAGAACCAUGAGUCUGCCUGCCAACAAGUAGUACUGGGAUAGGGAGGUGAUGGAGGACCUGCCUGGUGAAGGACGUCAGGGUGGGGAGAGUGACACCCGACUCCAAGGGGAUAUCCACUGAGGAGAGAGCUGAAGGAGCCAUGCAUCUGGAAGGUGCAGUUGAAAUGCUGUGUCCAGUCUGGGACAGACAGACCUGAGCUGCGUCAAGCCUGUAUCUCUGACCAGCUGGAGUCCCUUAGUGAUCAACAACCGCCACUCAUCGCUGGCCUGUGGAUUCAUCUCCUUCACACUCACACAACAGGACUUUGGUCUGUGGAUUCAUCUCCUCCACACUCACACAACAGGACUUUGGCCUGUGGAUUCAUCUCCUCCACACUCGCGCAACGUGACCUUCUCACCAUCUGUUGCACGUUUGGAUGCACCAAGCGUGUUCCAUCGAGGGUUCCUUCCUCCCCACGGUGGGAGGGUUCCUUGUCCUUCAAGGCGUCGGGGUUCAGUGUUAGGGACAGAGUUAGGGACAGAUAGCUGCGCUGGAUUCACGAUACACGCUUUGUGAUCAAAAUGGGUUCGGACAUCGGACAAAUCGCUUCCCAAAAUGUUUCAAUGUGCAAACGAUUUUAUAAAAUGUAUACUCGUGGUGUUUAUAUAAAA
Long non-coding RNA from Gadus macrocephalus (Pacific cod), 722 nucleotides. RefSeq lists it as uncharacterized. The transcript is spliced from 4 exons. The record is from RefSeq and is a predicted model, not a curated record. Lineage: Eukaryota; Metazoa; Chordata; Actinopteri; Gadiformes; Gadidae.